RNAcentral lists this transfer RNA (65 nucleotides) under Lepidostoma longipilosum. RNAcentral describes it as "tRNA-His". The record is from RNAcentral. Lineage: Eukaryota; Metazoa; Arthropoda; Insecta; Trichoptera; Lepidostomatidae.
AUUUAAAUAGUUUAAAAAAAAUUUUAAUUUGUGGAAUUAAGGAUGUAAAAAAUUUACUUUAAGUU